Molecule: long non-coding RNA, 207 nt
Organism: Thalassophryne amazonica
Lineage: Eukaryota; Metazoa; Chordata; Actinopteri; Batrachoidiformes; Batrachoididae
Exons: 3
Source: RefSeq, a predicted model, not a curated record
AUUCAGCCAAAAUUUGACUGUGGCGGAAACAUGCCGAAUGUCCCUCCGAAGGUGAUAAGAAUGUCACGAAUGCCGUUUUCACGCUGUCCGAUUGUUUAUAAUGCAGUCAGACUGCAGUCAGACGGCACUUUGACUGCCAUUCGAUCGUUUUUAGACUGCGCCACAAAUGUUUUGAACAUGUGCAAAACAUUUGAGGUGGCCGCAUGA